CACGCGCGAGAGGUUUCCCUCUGCUUCCUUCCCUGCCACGCUAGAACUCAACUCCCCCUCCCUGCUUCUCCAUCCUUCCUGCCUCUGGCAGCGGAAGACUGGGUCCCCUCGCCGCACGUCAUCUCUGCCCACCAUUGAACCAUAUCUGCCCUCGCGUUGCUGCGCGCCAUCGCUGUCCAGCAUCAUCGAUCCCAUUGAACCAGAGCUGCCUUCCACCAUUGCCCACCAAUAUCAUCGGCACUGAAUCUUAUGAGCGUAUGGAGCACCCCUUCUGUGCAUUAGGACAGCGUAUGGAGGCAGUCACUACAAGAUUUAUGAUAUUCAAUGGCUGAGGCUGAGUCAGGCGCCAUUGAAGAGCAUCCUUUGCUGGUGUUGGAUUUAGAGUGCUACGAGGGGAUCCUUUGUGGCAUUCGAACAGGGGACGCCACUGCGUUUAAAUGUAAUGGGAUUGGAUCAACAUUCACUUAUGUUGUGGUUUCUCUUCCUUGCCUGCUACAAGACGGAAAUUGGACAACCGUGAGGACGAGAGGUCGAUGGUGCGUGCGCUAACGGGCAAAAAAAUAAAUCCGGAAGCAUUUCUCCACGAAACAUUUCUCUACCUCUUGCCGUGGAAAUAUUGCCGUGGAAAGAUGAUUCCGAAAAUAUUGUUUUUGCCCGUUAGGGCACGCACCAUCGACCUCUCGUCCUCAGCUGCUUAACCCCACCCGCUAGAGAGAGGAACGCUGCUCCUGCUACUGUUGCCUCAAACGCAUCCGUCGUCCCUCUCGCGCUCUCACUCUCCUGCUGUACUUGUUGUUCGAUUUUCAGUGGAUCUGAAAAAGUUGCCUCAGAAAACAUCAUCAACUCCUUGCAAGAGCUGCAAAUCAAACGGGUAGGGUUUUCACGUUCUCCUCCUCCUCUUAUGUCUUCUUGUCUAUUUUUUUUUUCCCUUCCUCAUGAAUCUUCUUCGAGAGCCAUUUUGCCUAAUUUUGUGAUUGGAUUGGCACUUUGAUUUAUGAUUUCUGUUUUUCACUGCACAUUCACUGCUUUAGUCUGUUCCCUGCCUUUGGUAGCAGCUAUUUCAAGCAUUGAGUCUACAACUCAGCGCGAUCCCUUCCUUCUCUCUCGCUCCAUUGCCUCCCUAUUAUAGUUGUAGUUGUGCCCAGCCGUAGCCAUGUUCUUGAUUUUCUGUUACCAGGCUUAACUCUUCAUUUCUUCAGGGUUGAAAACCAAAGAACAGGCUAUGAACUAUUGGACCUUCACUCUGGCGUGUGCUGCAUACAGGUUGGUAAGGAGAUUCAGAAAUGCUAUGAACUCAUAAACAGGCUCGGAAGAGGGGUUGUUUAUCUUGGUUCUUCAAGGAUAGAUCCAUGCCAUCCACAUUACAUCCAGGCGUUUGAGUUAGGAAAAGAGGUAAGUUAAGCAUAUCCGAGGUUCAUACAAUAUUUUUCUCAUUCUCAGGUUUUGAAAAUUUCAGUAAUUGAAAAUUUCAAAACCUGAAAUUUGAAGCUAAUUUCUACUCGAAAGAGACAUAAGAAAAAUGGACAAUAAAGCAUCAUCUUUCAUUCCGUUACUUUUUUUAUAUUCUACCUGUAGAAAUUUCAUUUGCCACAUCAUCAUGAAUAAACCUCUACAUGAUAUGGGUCAUUCUGAUGACCACAUGUGCUUUGUGCACUUCGAAAGAUGAAUAAACUAAAGGCCUUCAAGUUAAAGGAAAUCAAGAGUCAACGCCCAGCUCACGUCUUCUUUGUUGCAAGGCUAACACAUUUGUGAAGCUUUCCUGAAUCAAGAGUCAACGCCCGGCUCACGUCUUCUUUGUUGCAAGGCUAACACAUUGGUGAGGCUUUCCUGACGAGCAAGGACAAUGGGGAUUUACAUUGGUGAAAUCUGUGUUUAUUCUCUCAAGUGUCACACAACGAAACAAUUCAUGUGGUGUAUGUUACUGUUCUGUAUUAUAGUUAACUUCCAGUUCUGUCUAAUUAACCAAUAUGUCAGUAAGCCAAGAUUUUUCUUUGUCAAGCAUUAUUUGUUUGUUCCCAGUUA
This is a long non-coding RNA of Nymphaea colorata (pocket water lily), 2022 nucleotides long. RefSeq lists it as uncharacterized. Lineage: Eukaryota; Viridiplantae; Streptophyta; Magnoliopsida; Nymphaeales; Nymphaeaceae. The transcript has 3 exons. The record is from RefSeq and is a predicted model, not a curated record.